Molecule: long non-coding RNA, 1171 nt
Filed under: Phoenix dactylifera (date palm)
Lineage: Eukaryota; Viridiplantae; Streptophyta; Magnoliopsida; Arecales; Arecaceae
Description: long non-coding RNA (PDAC_LNC010638)
Source: RNAcentral
GAUGAAUUUAUAUAAUGAUAAAAAUUAUAAUAAGUGCUAAGGAUAAAAUAUUUAAUCAUGUAAAUGUUAACACCUAUUAUUUAUCAUUAUUUUGCUAGCAUUAGGCUAAGUUAAUUGGUACUUAGAUCGCACUUUUGUGCUCUCAUUACAUCUCCCUAACUAGCUUAUUGCUAGUCUCUAGCAAUUAACGAGCAAAUAAUAAAAUGAGAGUGCAAAAGAUGUGGUCUAACCUAUGAUGUUUUAUUAGAAUUAAUUGCAUAAAAUUAAGAUAAGUACUCACUUUCGUAGGAAUCACGAUUGCACUUAGCACGUGCAACAAGCCGUUAAACCUCUAGGUUACCCUAGUGGACGAGUGUUGUCUCGUGAGGGUUUUCAGGGAUGUUACCCACAAACAUUAUGAGUUAUAAUACAUGAGAUUCUAAUAGAAAUAUGAAAUAAAUCUUAAGCUAAUACACAUGUAAUUAAUUGAUAUAUAUUUUCAAGCAUGGCAACUGUCAAAGCAAGGAAAUAUAAAAGUGUAGUGUGCAUCAAAUCGCAUGACUUUCUCAGAGUACUAAUACCUCCACCACAACAGGGCACCGCUUGAGUUUUAGGUGCACUACUCAAGUUCAAAAGUAUUUUCUACAAUUUAUUAGAACCUGAUCCAUCAAAUUUUCAGAAUAUCACAUGUUGUCUAAAUUUGUCAAGAAUGGUUCGCAUGUAAAGAAAGAGCUAUCAAUCUCAACUAAACAACCCGGGUACACAGAGGUUCAAUACAAUGGAGUCAAACCAGCCAUUACCACAUGUCACUAGGUUCAGCCUAACCAACUCAUUCAUGCUUAUUUUUAUUUCUUUUUUUUUCUUUCAAUACACAUGACAACUACAGCUAUCCAACCCCAUUAGGCUCUAGUAAGGUCCAUGUAGCGAGCUUUCAGUCAAUGACCCCCGAUCCAGUUGGCUCAAGACAUUAGGUGAAACACCCCUCGGACUUAAUUACUCGAACCAGACUAUGCCACGAGGUCAGACUUGUCAUCAUAAGUAUUAUAUUUUUUUUUUGAAUAAUAAUUAUGCAAGAAAAGAAAUGGUAGACUGAACCAUAUAAAUAUUUUUAUUAUAUAUGUGACUGCAUCGUGACUAUAGGUCAACCAAAGUCGGAUCAUAAGGCACCUAAGUAAUCUAGUCGGGAUAUUCA